UACGUAGGUGGCAAGCGUUGUCCGGAUUUACUGGGCGUAAAGCGCGCGCAGGCGGUUCGUUAAGUCCGGCGUGAAAGCUCCCGGCUCACCUGGGAGAGGGCGUUGGAGACUGGGGGACUGGAGGCAGGCAGAGGCCGGUGGAAUUCCCGGUGUAGUGGUGAAAUGCGUAGAGAUCGGGAGGAACACCCGUGGCGAAGGCGGCCGGCUGGGCCUGUACUGACGCUGAGGCGCGAAAGCGUGGGGAGCGAACCGG
Molecule: ribosomal RNA, 253 nt
Filed under: uncultured bacterium
Lineage: Bacteria
Description: partial 16S ribosomal RNA
Rfam family: Bacterial small subunit ribosomal RNA
Source: RNAcentral